This 397-nucleotide ribosomal RNA is filed under the name uncultured bacterium. Its description in RNAcentral is "partial 16S ribosomal RNA". It matches the Rfam family "Bacterial small subunit ribosomal RNA", at positions 523 to 918 of the family's 1533-position model. The record is from RNAcentral.
AUACGUAGGUGGCAAGCGUUGUCCGGAUUUACUGGGUGUAAAGGGCGCGUAGGCGGCGCGGUAAGUCUGGAGUGAAAGUCCUGCUUUCAAGGUGGGAAUUGCUUUGGAUACUGCCGCGCUUGAGUGCAGGAGAGGUUAUCGGAAUUCCCGGUGUAGCGGUGAAAUGCGUAGAGAUCGGGAGGAACACCAGUGGCGAAGGCGGGUAACUGGACUGCAACCGACGCUGAGGCGCGAAAGUGUGGGGAGCAAACAGGAUUAGAUACCCUGGUAGUCCACACUGUAAACGAUGAAUGCUAGGUGUAAGAGGUAUCGACCCCUUUUGUGCCGGAGUCAACACAAUAAGCAUUCCGCCUGGGGAGUACGGCCGCAAGGUUGAAACUCAAAUGAAUUGACGGGG